This 271-nucleotide long non-coding RNA is filed under the name Mytilus galloprovincialis (Mediterranean mussel). The record is from RNAcentral. Lineage: Eukaryota; Metazoa; Mollusca; Bivalvia; Mytilida; Mytilidae.
UCCUGUAGACUUUACAACAUUAUGCCAAAUACCAACAAUUUAUCACCAUUACUGAAUCUGCAAUGGACCAGAAUAGAAAGGUAAGCAUUAGUUGAUUAUUUGUGGAUGAUGCCAUCAAGGUGUUCUGGCUAGCAUUAAAGUCAUACCUUUGAAUAACUUCUCAAAUUUGUCAAAAAAGCCAGUCUUUAUGAACAAUUUUACGAUUUAUCAAGAUUUGUAUUCCAGAUAAUUUUAAUAUGUAACAAUGACCAUUAACAUUUUAUAAUCAAAC